CUAAAGACAUAGAAAGGGAAUAGUAAGAAGAAGGCAGAUUUUAAGAGAGUCAUCGGUUGGUGCGAGAUGACAUCUGCACUUUUGAACUCACCCUGGAGUUGUUAAUCUGAAGUGAAGUAGGAUUAAUCGGAUACCUUUCGUUAAUAGGUUAGAGUGAUUCUAUCUUAGUUUAAUUAUGGUAGAAUAAUUAGAGUGGUAACGCGAAAUAACCUUUCGUCUCUAUU
Non-coding RNA from Selenihalanaerobacter shriftii, 224 nucleotides. NCBI's taxonomy places the organism in Bacteria, Bacillati, Bacillota, Clostridia, Halanaerobiales, Halobacteroidaceae. The record is from Rfam.